AGUUUUAUGCGUGUAAGAUGUGAAAUAAACUUUUUCAGAGGUUAUCCGAGGUUUGAUUAUUGCUAGAUGAAAACUUUACCCAAUACCCCGCCUUCACGACUUGCAAUAUAGUCGGUAAUGGCAAUUUUUGUUGGUCUCUAAGGAGA
Molecule: small nuclear RNA, 146 nt
Organism: Mastacembelus armatus (zig-zag eel)
Lineage: Eukaryota; Metazoa; Chordata; Actinopteri; Synbranchiformes; Mastacembelidae
Gene: U4
Rfam family: U4 spliceosomal RNA
About the family: U4 small nuclear RNA (U4 snRNA) is a component of the major U2-dependent spliceosome. The structure of U4 snRNA from yeast and human has been reported.
Source: Ensembl